UGCCACUUUCUGAAAAUUUCUCACUUUUACUAUCACCGCAACACGACCUCGUUUCGAAUCAUUUCUGAUUCCUCUCUCUUUCUCUCUCUAUAAAUAAAUAAACCACUUUUCUUUCUAAGUCUGUUAAUUCAGUUUAUUUACCAUGGCAAUUUCCGAUACACCGGAAACCACUGCAACCGCCACAGCCACCGUAACAACCAUCGAAACCGACACAGAUCUCAAACGCUCUUCACUCCGACGACGACCGAGCGCCACAUCAACCGCCGGUGGUCUCUUCGACGCGGAAAGUGCAGCUGCAGAUGCCGUUCGAGAUUCAGGCUCCGAUGAUUCGUUGAACGGUAAGAUCAACAACGAAGAAGAGGUUAAAGAUCGAAAAACGGAUCAUGCAGAAGGAAUUGUUGACGAUGAUGAUGAUAAUGCGGUUAAGAAGAAUGGUGGUAAUGACGUCAUCAAUGAUCGUGAAAAUGUUGCUGUCGAUUUCAAAUUCACUUAUCGUCCUUCAGUUCCCGCUCACCGGAGAAGCAAAGAAAGUCCUCUUAGCUCCGGCAAUAUUUUUAGACAGAGUCAUGCAGGACUGUUCAAUCUCUGUAUUGUGGUGCUUGUUGCAGUGAAUAGUAGGCUUAUUAUUGAAAAUCUGAUGAAGUAUGGAUGGUUGAUUCGAUCUGGCUUUUGGUUUAGUUCAAAAUCGCUUAGAGAUUGGCCCCUCUUCAUGUGUUGUCUUAGUCUUGCAAUAUUUCCACUUGCUGCCUUUGUAGUCGAAAAGUUGGCCCAACAAAAACGUAUUUCUGAACCAGUUAUUGUUCUCCUUCAUAUUGUAAUUACAACUGUUGCGAUCAUCUAUCCAGUUUUAGUUAUCCUCUGGUGCGAUUCUGCUUUUUUAUCUGGUUCCACGUUAAUGCUAUUGACUUGCAUAGUGUGGUUAAAAUUGGUGUCAUAUGCACAUACAACCUAUGAUAUGAGAGCGCUUGCUGUUUCAAAUGAAAAGGGAGAAACAAUGCCCGAUACUUUCAAUAUGGAGGAGUACCCACACAAUGUGAGCUUCCAGAGUUUAGCAUACUUCAUGGUUGCUCCUACAUUAUGCUACCAGCCAAGCUAUCCUCGCACACCUUCGGUUCGAAAGGGUUGGGUCUGUCGACAACUUCUCAAGCUGGUCAUAUUUACAGGAGUUAUGGGAUUUAUAAUAGAACAAUAUAUGAAUCCUAUUGUCCAGAAUUCACAACAUCCAUUGAAGGGAAACCUUCUAUAUGCCAUUGAGAGAGUUCUGAAGCUUUCUGUUCCAAAUGUUUAUGUGUGGCUGUGCAUGUUCUAUUGCUUUUUCCAUCUUUGGUUAAAUAUACUUGCGGAGCUUCUCCGGUUUGGUGAUCGUGAGUUCUACAAAGAUUGGUGGAAUGCCCAAACGGUUGAAGAGUAUUGGAGGAUGUGGAAUAUGGAAUCACAACAGAGUUGGAAUAUUCUACAAACUAACAUGAUUAGAAUAUUUUAGAAACUCUACACAAGGCAUAGUCUUACCCACACAAUACUCUAUACUCAGUACUCUAUCAAAGGAUGAUAUCUAGGCUGAUUAACCUGUUAUCUAAGCCAGAAACCUGUGCACAAAUGGAUGGUUCGUCACGUGUAUUUUCCCUGCAUAAGGUUUGGUAUACCCAAGGGUGCUGCUGCUUUGACUGCUUUCCUGGUUUCUGCUGUGUUCCAUGAGUUAUGCAUUGCUGUUCCUUGCCGCAUGUUCAAGUUGUGGGCUUUUAUUGGAAUUAUGUUCCAGGUUCCUUUGGUCUUGAUCACCAAUUACCUGAAAAAUAAAUACAGAAACUCAAUGGUUGGAAAUAUGAUUUUUUGGUUCAUAUUUUGUAUUCUUGGUCAACCUAUGUGUGUACUACUAUACUAUCAUGACUUGAUGAAUAGGAAAGGUGAAAUUGACUGAGGUAGCAUUACAUCAUUACAGUUAUGUGGAUGAGCUUUUACUUUUGCAGAGCUAAAUCGAUGUACAUAUGUUGCUCAAUGUUAUCUCCAGUGACUAUCAUCUGCUAUGACGGUGGUUCAUAUGGGUUAAGCAUUUCCAUGUGAUUUGCUUCGUCUUUUUGAAGUUAGUUAUCUAUGUAUUUAUUUAACUGAAUUGCUUUGGCACUUCAGCAAUAUGCAGACAAUUUUGAAAGCACAUGAACAAUGUUAUGCGCUAAAGUAAAAACCAACAGGUUUCAGAUAAUUGAGGCAUAAGCUGUAAGUGCCUAAAUGAUUUAGCUGUAGAUGAUUUAUGGAAGUUUUAAAUUUGAAUAAUGAUGGCUAGUAUUGGUUGAAACUUAAA
Medicago truncatula (barrel medic) is the source of this 2299-nucleotide RNA transcript. It is a transcript of the gene named diacylglycerol O-acyltransferase 1C, with no coding region annotated. The record is from RefSeq and is a predicted model, not a curated record. The transcript has 17 exons. NCBI's taxonomy places the organism in Eukaryota, Viridiplantae, Streptophyta, Magnoliopsida, Fabales, Fabaceae.